GACGAACGCUGGCGGCGUGCUUAACACAUGCAAGUCGAACGGAAAGGCCCUGCUUUUGUGGGGUGCUCGAGUGGCGAACGGGUGAGUAACACGUGAGUAACCUGCCCUUGACUUUGGGAUAACUUCAGGAAACUGGGGCUAAUACCGGAUAGGAGCUCCUGCUGCAUGGUGGGGGUUGGAAAGUUUCGGCGGUUGGGGAUGGACUCGCGGCUUAUCAGCUUGUUGGUGGGGUAGUGGCUUACCAAGGCUUUGACGGGUAGCCGGCCUGAGAGGGUGACCGGCCAAAUUGGGACUGAGAUACGGCCCAGAAUCCUACGGGAGGCAGGAGGGGGGAAUAUUGCAAAAUGGGCGGAAGCCUGAAGCAGCAACGCCGCGUGCGGGAAGAAGGCCUUCGGGUUGUAAACCGCUUUCGCCUGUGACGAAGCGUGAGUGACGGUAAUGGGUAAAGAAGCACCGGCUAACUACGUG
This 468-nucleotide ribosomal RNA is filed under the name uncultured bacterium. RNAcentral's name for it is "partial 16S ribosomal RNA". It matches the Rfam family "Bacterial small subunit ribosomal RNA", at positions 28 to 507 of the family's 1533-position model. The record is from RNAcentral.